CCUACGGGCGGCAGCAGUGAGGAAUAUUGGUCAAUGGACGAGAGUCUGAACCAGCCAAGUAGCGUGAAGGAUGACUGCCCUAUGGGUUGUAAACUUCUUUUAUAUGGGAAUAAAACGUUCCACGUGUGGGAUUUUGUAUGUACCAUAUGAAUAAGGAUCGGCUAACUCCGUGCCAGCAGCCGCGGUAAUACGGAGGAUCCGAGCGUUAUCCGGAUUUAUUGGGUUUAAAGGGAGCGUAGGUGGAUUGUUAAGUCAGUUGUGAAAGUUUGCGGCUCAACCGUAAAAUUGCAGUUGAAACUGGCAGUCUUGAGUACAGUAGAGAUGGGCGGAAUUCGUGGUGUAGCGGUGAAAUGCUUAGAUAUCACGAAGAACUCCGAUUGCGAAGGCAGUUCACUGGACUGCAACUGACACUGAGGCUCGAAAGUGUGGGUAUCAAACAGGAUUAGAUACCCCUGUAGUC
Molecule: ribosomal RNA, 460 nt
Filed under: uncultured bacterium
Lineage: Bacteria
Description: partial 16S ribosomal RNA
Rfam family: Bacterial small subunit ribosomal RNA
Source: RNAcentral